Molecule: ribosomal RNA, 256 nt
Filed under: uncultured bacterium
Lineage: Bacteria
Description: partial 16S ribosomal RNA
Rfam family: Bacterial small subunit ribosomal RNA
Source: RNAcentral
UACGUAGGGUGCAAGCGUUGUCCGGAAUUAUUGGGCGUAAAGAGCUCGUAGGCGGUCUGUUGCGUCGGCUGUGAAAACCCGGGGCUCAACCCCGGGCCUGCAGCCCGAUACGGGGCAGACUAGAGUUCGGCAGGGGGAGACUGGAAUUCCUGGUGUAGCGGUGAAAUGCGCAGAUAUCAGGAGGAACACCGGUGGCGAAGGCGGGUCUCUGGGCCGAUACUGACGCUGAGGAGCGAAAGCGUGGGGAGCGAACAGG